RNAcentral lists this ribosomal RNA (253 nucleotides) under uncultured bacterium. RNAcentral describes it as "partial 16S ribosomal RNA". It matches the Rfam family "Bacterial small subunit ribosomal RNA", at positions 524 to 776 of the family's 1533-position model. The record is from RNAcentral.
GACGUAGGGCGCGAGCGUUGUCCGGAUUUAUUGGGCGUAAAGAGCUCGUAGGCGGCUUGUCGCGUCGUCCGUGAAAACCUGCGGCUCAACUGCAGGCUUGCGGUCGAUACGGGCAGGCUAGAGUUCGGUAGGGGAGACUGGAAUUCCUGGUGUAGCGGUGAAAUGCGCAGAUAUCAGGAGGAACACCGGUGGCGAAGGCGGGUCUCUGGGCCGAUACUGACGCUGAGGAGCGAAAGCGUGGGGAGCGAACAGA